Molecule: long non-coding RNA, 221 nt
Filed under: Lathyrus oleraceus (garden pea)
Lineage: Eukaryota; Viridiplantae; Streptophyta; Magnoliopsida; Fabales; Fabaceae
Description: Pisum sativum (pea) long non-coding RNA (PSAT_LNC018521)
Source: RNAcentral
AAAAACGUGACUGGUUUGUGCAGCAUGCUUAGAAAAUCUGAUUGGGCCAGCCAGGCCCAAAAUCUGCCUAGAAAAUCAAGUCAUGGUGCCCACUUUAAAUGAAUGUAUCUCUCAAACCAUGGAUUCAAAUGAGAUGAUUCCAAAAGGAUGUGAAAUAGGACAUGGAAAGGUACAAUUUUUGUGAAGAAAGUAUUUUCAAAUAAUGCCUUGAAGUGCAAGAA